CACCACAGAAGGUAAUAGUCCUGUAUGUUAAACGAGAAGACUUUAGAUAUGAUCCAGAGUACCACGGGACACGUGAAACCCUGUGGGAAGCAGGAGGGACCACCCUCCAAGGCUAAAUACUACCUAGUGACCGAUAGCGUAUAGUACCGUGAGGGAAAGGUGAAAAGAACCCCGGGAGGGGAGUGAAAUAGAACCUGAAACCCUGCACUUACAAGCUGUGGAAGCACAUUUCUUGUGUGACCGCGUACUUUUUGUAGAACGGGCCAACGAGUUACGUUAAGUAGCAAGGUUAAGCACUUAAGGGGCGGAGCCGUAGCGAAAGCGAGUUUUAACUGAGCGUUCAGUUACUUGACGUAGACCCGAAACCGGGCGACCUACCCAUGAGCAGGAUGAAGCGAAAGUAAAAUUUCGUGGAGGUCCGAACCCACGAGCGUUGAAAAGCUCGGGGAUGACUUGUGGGUAGCGGUGAAAUUCCAAUCGAGCCCGGAGAUAGCUGGUUCUCCCCGAAAUAGCUUUAGGGCUAGCCUCAAGGUGAGAGAUACGGAGGUAGAGCACUGAAUGUCCUAGGGGGUAUUGCACCUACCGAAGACUAUCAAACUCCGAAUGCCGUCAUCUUAUACUUGGGAGUCAGACUGUGGGUGAUAAGAUUCAUAGUCGAAAGGGCAACAGCCCAGAUCGUCAGCUAAGGUCCCUAAAUGUAAGUUAAGUGGUAAAGGAUGUGGGAUUGCACAGGCAACCAGUAUGGUGGCUGAGAGGCCGCCACUCAUUCAAAGAUGGCGUAAUACGUCACCGAUCGAGUGAUCGUUCGCCGAAGAUAUCCGGGGCUCAAACUUACUACCGAUGCUACGGCAUCA
This 854-nucleotide ribosomal RNA is filed under the name Clostridioides difficile. Its description in RNAcentral is "bacterial LSU rRNA". It matches the Rfam family "Bacterial large subunit ribosomal RNA", at positions 353 to 1210 of the family's 2925-position model. The record is from RNAcentral. Lineage: Bacteria; Bacillati; Bacillota; Clostridia; Peptostreptococcales; Peptostreptococcaceae.